GUGAAGUGAAAUUCUGCAUCCCAGAUGGAGUCUGUUACCAACCCCCCUGGUCCUGGUGCCUUCCAUGUGCUCUUUGUCCAUUGCUCUGGUCUCCAGUGCCUGCCAUGUGAAGCCUCUGUGCCACGGUUUGCUGCGUUGUGGCCAGCAACAGUGAGUGACCAAGGCCAUCAGGUCCUGCUUCCUGCUCCUGCACCCCUACCUGCCACUGAGCUGCUUCUGGAACCUAAGUGGAAUCAAUAUACAACAGCGCACAGCUUUAUUAAACACAUCUAUUCUCUCUGGAUGACUGCAGAAGACUUCAUUCUCCCUCCCUGUUUGUAAGACCUGGUGUGGAUUUUUUUCUUCUUUCCUCACCCCACAGUGUGGCGCUCACUGUGGUUCUCCUGAAGUUCCAGACUGAGAUGUAAGGUGUUUGUUUGGUAACAUGGUAUAAUCCUGACUUGAACUGGCCACAGCAGCAGCUCAGCUGCUUGCCCCACACCAGCACCUUUGUCCUCAGCAGCAGGCUUUGUCCCCAGGACCAGUUGGAAAACCAAGACCUGGUGCCUGAAUGCCGUGGUGGAUGCAAACCUGGAGGCAUUAGGUUGCAAGAGGAGUAGCUGAGUGAGAGAGCUGUUCCCUGAGCCAGCCGCAAAGGGCUCAUUAGCCAGCAGCUAUUUAGGCAGUGGCACUGCAGCAACUCUCUGCUGGAAAAAGCUGAUUUGUGGCGGUUUCCUCUCCACGCCGAGUGUGCACUGAUCAGGAAUAUAAAUACCGUUAAUCCCCAGCGUUAAUACCAGCAGCUUUGAUCAUCUUUCCCCAUUAUCACUCCCUUGCUGUUAAUAAAAGUGAUAACCAUGGGGGAGAAGGGAAUGGGGACUGGACUAAUCAGUUUGCAGUUGGCGAUGCUGUUGGGAAAACGAGACACCCAAGGCAACCUGGCCUCAGUGACAGUGCCUCUGGACAUCAAGAGGGAGCUCAGGAACAAAUUUCUGCAAGGGACUUUCUACAAAUUCCCAAGUCCUAUUCCAAGCUGAUGAUGGCUUUGCUUCUCCAGGAUGCAAAGACGCUGGCCUGUUUGCUCUGGAAAAACUUUCAGCCAAGGUAAAGCAUGAAAAAAUCCUUGGAAAAGCCUGACCUUCUCAUGGGCUGUUCCCUUGGUAACCAUCACUUUGCUGUGAUGGUAUUCAAAGACAACUUCUAAACUUGUGAGAGAAUAUAACAAGGAGCUGUUCAGGCAGGGGCAGAAGGAGCUGGGAACUGAGCAAGCUUUCAGGCAGAGAGGUGCCAGGCAAGAGGCAGGUUGCUAUUCCCUUCCCUGGGGACCAGGAGCUUGUUGUGGGGAGACAGGAGAAUGGUAAAGUCCUCUCUCCCUUCCUUCCCAGUUCCCUUCCUUCAGAGACUGGUUAGAGGAUGACGGCUGGGCUGAGUUGACUCCCCAACACCUCUUGUUAAGCUCUCAGGGGAAGGUCGCUUUUUCCCCUUUGAGUUCUUUAGUGAAACAGUGUUCUCUGCCCUCCUUUGGCUUCACAGAAUUGUAGAAACACAGGAUCAUAGGGGCUGGAAGGGACCUCUGGAAAUCAUCAAGUCCUGCUCCCCUUCUCAUAGGGAAUUGUUUCAACGUGGUGGUUUCCUGCUCUGCUCUCCUUGCAGGGCAGCAGACAGGGACUGUGACUCAGGUGUGGGUUGGUGUGGGCUCUCAGAUAUGGGGCUGUAGAGUAAUAGUAUUUUUCUACUUUCUACUCUGGAGGCUUUGGCAGUCAAAAUUGACUUUGGAGACUGACUUUGCUUCUUGAACUGUUCUGGACCUGUUUCUUCCCAGCCAUGGAUUGGAUGCACCGUUCGUGUGAUAAACCACAGCAAUCCAACAGCAAUCCCACACUUACACAUCUCCCCUAGAAGGACGGUAAUUCUCAUGGAGAGGAUGCCUGCGUUCCUGUGUCCGUGAGGAGGCCUGCCUCCAUUCGUCAGUGGAGCUCACCACUUGGGAGUCUGCUUGGAUGAUUAUCUCCAUCUGACAGUGAGUAGAAAGAAGAAUGAACCCUACGGCACCUCCUGUACAGGGAGCAGCUCCUGCGUAGGACGUCUGUGGCUUUGUGAUUCUUGAGAGGCAUCUGUGCAGAUCCGGUCCUUGGUCCUCAGUAACAACACAGGAUCCCAUACAGCAAGGAUGAGGCAAGAGAUGACAGCUCACCACACAAGACCAAUCUGGGUGACAAAGCAGAGUCCUCUCUUUGCUUAUCCCCCGCCUUCCUGUGCAGCAGGACUGCCAGAAAUCACAGCGGUGCAAUACUCGGCAGGAUGACAAGGAACCUGCAGUCCAGAAGAGAAGCAGCCCUGACAAUUCCUCUGUUCCUGCUGCUCAGUGAAACGGUUGCGUGUGGGAUGCGAUCAGCGCUCUGCAGCUGCUCCUACAUUAGUGUGCAUCGGAGGCACUCGAUGGAAGCAGCCUGGCGAUCUGUCUAGACUUAUUUGCUGCCAGAGACCAACACUUCAUUCCACCUCCUGCCGUACAGUUCCAGUCCUGCUGGAUUACUCUCCAACCCAUGCUCAUCUCAUCUGCUGACUCCUCCUGCCUCAGAGCCCAUCAGACCUCCAGCUUCAGACCUGUGUGCAUUCUUACAACAGGCGGACGCUGCUGAGUUGGCCUCCAGGCCCCUGGACACAUCCUGACCCCAGGACACUGCACUAACAGAACCUGUCUGCCAAAAGAAGAAACUUAGCUGUCUCCCAUUUCUGUCUGUGGUCUGUCUCCUUGAAGACCAUGAGGUACUUCAUACAUUCCUCAGCUUUUGCCUGCUAUUUGUGAAUUAAUGGGGUGAAGCGAUUUCCCUGAACUUAUCAGAAAAUCUAUGUAAGACAGAGAAGAGGAAUGGGAUCUGGUCCAUCAGGUUUACAGGUAUGGGGUCUUGGCUCACUGGGACACUUCUCAUGGUCGGGCACUGGGACAGGCUGCCCAGGGGGGUGUGGGAGUUUCCAUCCCUGGAGUUGUUCAAGAAAUAUGGAGAUGUGGUAUGUAAAGGCAUGGUUUAGUAGGAAAUAUUGGUAGUCACUGUAUGGUUGGACUGGAUAAUCUUAGAGGUCUUUUCCAUGAUUCUAUGAUUCUAUGAAUUCAGGUGCUGACCGGAACAAACAAGUGGUCCAGACCCUGAAUGCUUUAAUAUCCAUCUCUUAAGAAAGAGGUCUUCUCCCCACUAUCCCAUGAAGGCAAUGAUCAUUGCUCAGAAAUUCAGCCUUUCGUCCUGAUCAGAGCCCUCUCCAGCAUCACCUUCACAGCGAAAAAGACACAAACCCAACGGCUCAACACUUGCAAGGCAGAGCAGUGCUGCAGCCCCGUGUGCCCUUCGACUCACUCCCUUUCCCUCGGCCAGGCCUCAAGCAGAGCAGUGAUUGAAGAGAGGUGGAGCCCCAUGACUGAUUCCCCCGAGAACAUAACUCUGGUUUCUCUGACACCCUGAACAAGAGCGAGAUGUCAGGAUCCUUCCUUAGGGCUGCUGCAUGAGAGGGAUGGACCGGUGACACUGAUGCUACAUCACCUCUUCUGAGCACAGGAGCUGAGUUCCACGUUUGGCAGCUCCAGGAUGAACCGGUGGCGUUUCCUUGACUCCAGUGGCGAUCGAUUCCAUUUGGAGCCUGUAGCAACUGACGUCCAGGGGAGCCCAAGUCCCACCCAUCACAUGGCAACAGGAAGCUUUGCGUGAUGCCUGGUGGCACAUCCCUCCAAAAGGAAGUGGGAAGAUUAAAGAAAGACGUUGAGGCCCUGGAAUGUGCCCAGAGAGGGGCAACGAAGCUGUGAACGGGCUGCAGCACAAGUCUUAUGGAGAGAGGCAGAGGGAACUGGUGUUCUUCAGUCUGGAGAAGAGGCUCAGGGGAGACCUCAUUGCUCUCUACAAUGCCCUGAAAGGAGGCUGUGGUGAGAGUGUUCAAUUCUUUCCCCGUCUCCCCCACCAGCCCCAGCCCAGGAGCGAGCAGCUCCCGAAAAUGCUGAGGAAAUGGAGCUGAAAGCCUGGGGCAAUGGGGCAGAGAAGGUGAAUCUAAAGAGAUGCAGAAAUGAACCAGACAGGGCCGGGAAAUGUACGGAGAACCCACCCUAGCCUGUAUGUGAGGGAGUGCAUACCACAGCGUAUGAGAUCAACAGCCCCUUUCCGCAGUCUCAGUAGUGCUGAGUCCCAGAAGAGGGUUACAGAUUUACAAGGAAUUCAGAUUUUUACAUUCAGGAUGAAAUCAGCAAAUUUUAGAGCUUGCCGAGAUUGAAGCGACGGUGUUUAGCGAUGCAGCCCCGAGCACGCGGAGCCCAGCACCGCUUUGCUCCCAGUAAUGAGUCCCCCCGGGGGUCACAGCCCCCACUGCAUGGGGCUGCCCAAAGCCCUUUGCCCUGCGAUUCUUCCAGCAAAGACACUGUACAAUCACAGGCAGCUGCACUGAGGAAAAUGUAAAUGCAAUAGAAAACACAGACGUGGAGGAGCAUCUGUUCUCCCCUCCAGGUCGAGCAGUGGUCUUGAAAGAUGAACCGGCAUGGGGAGAGCUCAGAAGGAGCGAGAUGUUUAUAUCCAAAGCCAGAACUGUAUUUCCUAUGGUCCCAUCCGAAAAGCUCCAGCUGCAGACAAAUCUAGGGAGGCAUCAGCUCCUUCUGCAGCAGUGACUGUUGAUACCACCUCACUGAGCUGCCAAUGUCCACCAUGCAAUGUGCCUGCUACAUGAUGCCAGAGAGAAGCACAAUUCAUGGAAGGCUUGCAGGAAGGAGAGAGAAUGUAUAGCAUAGAAGCCUGGAAAGCAGGCCAAGAGGAGGUUAUUCCCAUGAUACAUCUCUGUUCCCCCCUCCCCAUCAUGUCAGCAGCCUCUUCAGCUUCACACAGAGGUUGUGAGGAUUCAUUAGUUAAUGUUUGUAAAGCACUAUAUAGAUGGAGAGAGCUAUGUAAGUGCUAAGUAUUAUUAUUAUUACAGAGAGUCGCUGUUAAGGCAAUGGAUAUGCUCUUAAGUGUCAUUUCAUAUUUAAUUAACGUGCAAUAAUUGUCUUCCAAAACCUGGAGGUACAUCUUUAUUCUUGACACUUCCUUUAAAGAGACACUGCAGCAGAGCUGCUGCUAAUGGGCCUCCUCUCUGGCAUAGGAGGAACAGGAUGAGCUGGGAACUGGAAGAAGAGGAAAGGGAGGUCAAUGAGGGACUUUCUUCUUCACAAUUCCACAAACAUGCCAUGGAUCCAUGGUGAGUUUGGGUUUUGAUCACCGAGCUGCCCCAAGGGAUACUGACCUGGUGAGGGGUCUGCAGCCUUCCCCUUAGACUUUCCCCAUGCCCUGCAUCGACUGAGCAGUGCCUGUGGCUUCUGAGUAACUGAACCCAGCUGUAGCUGUGCACCUUGCCUCUGUGAGUAGAAUAAAAGAACUAAAAAGGGAGGAUGGAGAAGCAUGAAAUCACAGUACUGGGAAUUUCCCUUCUAUUUUUCAGGAACAUGUUUGCCAAGAAGUGGUAUUCUCAGAGCUAGGUUACGUAUCUUUUACUGACAGAGGGAAGCAAGGAGAAAUCAGCUGUGGGGCCAUCUGCUCCUCAAGCAAAUGGGAAGGGGAAGCCACCUCUCCCACCUCCCCACGAUGUUUGCAUUUCCGAGUGAGACCAGAGAAGUAAAAAAAGAAGCAGUCCAUCAUUAACUCAGAAAUAACCCGCCUACAGGAGCUGCAGAAGGAUGCUGGGCCCUUCAUGCCUGUCUUUUUUUUUUACCUGAAUGUGUAAUUUCUCACUGGUUCGUUGACAAAUCAGUGCCCUCUAUGGGCCCUUGGCUGGCAUCUCUCUGAGGAGCCCACAGGGUGGGGUUGGGAGGAGCAGGAUGCUCCAAGAGAGCUGCGAUGGUGCCAGUCCCCUUGUCCUCACCAUCUUAAAGAGGCAGCCCCCCUACCAACAUCACUCCCACACACUUGUGUGCCCUUCCUGCCCCUCUCUGAUCACUGAGAUGCUCCUCAUCAGUGCUAAGUGCUCUGAAGGUCACAGGCUACACAGCUCCCAACAUCACUGAGGAUCAGGCUUUGGCCUUGCUGCCACCCCCCUGCUCCCCCCGGGACCCCUGAAGUGACAGAACCUGGCAGCUCGUUCCUCGCUUCCCCCUCCCACCUCCCCCUUCCUUCUCUCACUCUCAUUUAUUUCAAUUUGCUAUGCUUUCUUUCCUGGCUCUCAGCAUUAACUGGGAAGGGGGAGAGGAGGGUGGAGGGAUGGUUUCAUGGUGGAGAGGUGGGGAAAACCUUGUAUGAUGGUGAGUGAGGGUCUGCAGGUCACAUUGGAGGUUAUGGGGAAAUCAGUCAACUUUUUAGGCUGAUUUUGGGUGUAGCCUCCCAUGAUUCAGAACAUAAUAGAGGUCAGUGAAUUGGCAAAGUGCUGUCAGGACCUCAGGAUGCCCUCAUAGCAACUUGGGCUGCUCUAUUUCAGUGCCAAUUCAUGGGAGCCAGGGCAGUGUGUGCUCACGUAGAGGUGGCAGUGGGGCAUGGGCUGCAUUGCUGAGUGAAUGGCAUAUCUGUGACAUUCAUCCUCAGUGCAGACAGCGUGAUUUGUGGCUAAAGGGGAUGUGCAUCUGCUACAGCACUGCUCAGCCUCUCUGCUCCUUUUGCCCUUAUCCUUGGGGCCCCAAAAGGCUCCAUUUGCCAGGAAUGCCCUCCACUCACUGCAGCCAUCUGAGCAAACACGAGAUCUGCACUCAUCACCUCCUGCUUCCCUCCCUUUGACUGUGCUGUCACACAUUGCCACACAGCAGUUAUUGUUCCAGGCACUACGGCACUGCACAUAAUCCAGGUGACUUCCAGAGCGAUUCAGCUCUCCAGUCUUUCACAAACCCAAAUCAAUGUACAAGCCCUGCCCAUUAAGACUCAGAUUCCCACACAUGGCUCAUGGCGUCUGUAGCACUCCCUUCCCUGAACCAGACUGAUGAGCCACAUUACUGCCAUGUUAACCAAAAGCCCGUUUCAGUGACUUCUUGUCCUGUACGUGUUCUCUGCAGAUCCUCAUGGAGAUGGUCUGUGGGGUCUGUUCUCUUUUAUUCCCUACAAAUCCCUCUACAAUGGCUGUAAGAAAUUCCCCGGUUAGCCAACUCCUUGUGGGUUUUGUUUGUUCUUUGUACUUAUUCAAGCUGAAGUCUAGAGAGGAAAAGCAGGGCAGAUGUGUUUGAAGGGCAGAGCUAAAAAGAGGACACUUCACGUUAGCAUAUAAAAUCAAAAUGUGAAGCCAUUAGAAAACAUGGCAAACAGGUGACAAAAAAUGUAUAUACUUACUGCCAACACGAGCUCCUGUCUGACAAGCUGAAUUAUAGCAUGCAUUUUUAAUCCAUCUUUGGAGCAGAGAUUCUACCAACCUCUCUCUCUAGAAAUACAUCACACAGGCUUUGGAUAUUGCUGCUGGUUGAUAUUAUCAAUACCCUCUUUUCCCCAAGAGCUUUCUUCAACAGCCAUCACCCCGCACUGCAGGUUGUCCGACAGAAAAUUGGAAUGGUAAUGAAGACUAAGAGAAGAGAGAAAGCAAAAAAGAAUACUUCGUACUCACAUCAUAACAAAUCUUAAGAGAAGGGGAUGGGAGAUAAUGUCACUGCCAGUUCAAAAAGGUGGAUACAAAAAUAUAAUGAAGGUGCCUGUGUUUCAACACGUUGUCCAGAAAGUGCACUAGCAUCUGAAAGUACAAAAAUACUCAGAACAAUCUAGCAUGUUCAGGACGUAAGUGUGUUUCUACCUGUUAAAGGGAAAGGCAAGAGAGAGAAUCCAGUUGCUAUGGAAAUCAGGCCAUCUCCAUGGGAAUUCAGAAAGUAGAGUAUCCUCUUGGCCAGUAAAUCAGGCAGCGAGCAGCCAUUUCUGGACCAUGGCACUGAGCAAUUCUAAGCUGCUCACAGGACAGUUUGUUUCCUCAGCACUGCCGCCCUACCUCAGUAUCAAUGAAAUUGGUGAAAAAAGGGGGUUAUUGGUGAAAUUAAGAAUUUGUUUUGUGGAAUGUAAAGAAGGUUCAGGGGAGAACUGAUAGCAGCCUUUCAGUAUCUAAAGGGGUGGGGAGGGGUGUAAGAAAGAUGGGGACAGAUUCUUUAGCAGGGUCUGUUGUGAUAGGACAAGGGGAUAUGGUUUAAUUACCCCUAAACUGAAAGAGGGGAGAUUUAGAUUGGAUGUAAGGAAAAAAGCUUUGUACGUUAAGGCCAGGGAGGCUCUGACACAGGCUGCCCAGAGAGGUGGUGGUGCCCCAUCCCUGGAGACGGCCAAGGUCAGACUGGGUGGGCUCUGAGCUGUGGGUGUCCCUGUUCAGUGCAGGGGCAGUUGGACCAGAUGGCUUUUAAAGGAUCCUUCCAACUCAAACAAUUCCACAAUUCUCCGAUUCUCCUGCAUGUUUCUGUGGAGGAGUGUCGCGUGUCUUUGCUUUAGCUACAGUUAUUGGGAUAUAGAUUUAUGUCACUGGAAAAAAAGUGGAACUCCUGGUUUUGCUUCUCAGCAAAUGUUUUUUGUUCACAUUAGUUGCUGUACAAUAACAAAGGAUCAGGUAGGUGUGCAUGCAGGAAGUAAAAGGAAACAAAGGCCACAUUAAAGAAUAUAAAAAGAAGGAGCUGAGGUACAAACCCACACCUUGUUCAGGACUCCUCUCUUUGUGUUAAUGGACAAAUAUUCAUGGUGCCAUUGGGGGAUCCAAUUCCCUUGCCAUAGGCAGCAGCCUCCAGCUCUGCUGCUCCUGGGUACCAGUGAUUGCUUAGAGUUUAGGGUCCCACAAAGGCCUCCAAGCACAUCUCUUCCAGUCAGUGCCCCACAGCUAGGUUUACUCUGCUGUCACCUGAUGGAUGAGACUGAGAAGCUUGGAGACUUUUGAGAUUCUGAUGCUUUGCUACAGAGCUUUCUUCUGUUUCAUCAUUGCAUUUAAUCACUGGUGGGCAACUGGUCCCUAGAGCCCGGGAGGUUGGGUACUGCUGGAGUUGAAAGCUUUGGCAUGAGCGCCAGUGUGCAGACGAUGGAAAGCAGGUGAUGGAUUUACAGUGCUGAAAUCCUUGCUAUGACUGCUAUGCAAACACCAUAUAUUAUAGCUGUAAGUCCUGCAUAAGCCAAGAAGAUUAAAAAACACCUUGUAGAAAAGAGCUCCGGUCGGAUAUGCCUUUGUUCACGAGGACAACUAUGCAGUGGUACUAAUGCAUGGAUGUCAUUUAGUGCUGGGGGAGUUAAUGGGGCUUUAUUUGAAUAUAUCUCAGCUGCGUGAGUAAGGCUCACAGGCAGAAGUGUCUGUCUGGUGUACGUGUGUUGGAGGACACUGUCUGACAUUGAUGGAAAGCUGCUUGAUAGAGUUUCAUCUUUCAAUUCAUUUAGAUUUUUAAAGCUCAGGUUAAGUUGCCCAACUUAAUUUGCAAUCAUUUAAAGUAGGAGUUAAGUGAAGGUCACAGGCUGCUCUAAAUUAGAGGGAAACCGCUGUAGCACUGGCAUGCUUUGACCUUUUCAGUGUUUUCUGACUCUGCUGACCAGCUGAGCUCUUUAUAGCACUGUUAACCUGUGAGAAAUGUGUGAAGUGGUCAUUUCCCACAGUAAAGCAGGAAAUUUUGAAAGGUUAAAGUAGCAGUGAAUAUUCCUGGCAAGAGCAGGUACGGAAUCCCUUGGAACUGAUGAUCUGUGUGUACGUGUAUCUUCCUGCUCUGCAGUGUUUGUGUUAGAAGGGAAGUGAAGAGGAUGCAAAGCAGGGCUGUAGGCAGCUCACCCGAGCUCUGCCUGCAGGUUAUCCCAGAAAUCAGCAUGGUGCAGAGGGUGCUCUCAAACCCACAGGAAUCCGUGCUGUCUCAGAGCUAUAAAAAAAUACUACUACAAAAACUCCAGAAGUAACAUCAAACUCAGGACGUGGGGCUUUCCUAGAUCCCAUAUGCAGAACUUGGGGAAAAGACAGAUAUCAGUGUUCCCCCAUCCCUGGGGCUGUUCAAGGCCAGGUUGGAUGUGGCCCUGGGCAGCCUCAUCUGGUGAGUGGCAACUAGCCCACAGCACGAGCUUGGUCCUUUCCAAUCUAAGCCAUUCUAUGAUUCUGUGACGUACCUGGAGUUAACAGCAGUGAGCCCAGACAGUGUAGUAGAUGGGAUGCGCUAUCACAGUGCUCGAAGAGUAAAAUCCCUAUGCUCCAUGCCCCAUCUUUUUUAUGCACUUGUUUUCUUCCUUCCUGGUGUUUACGAUCCAGCUGCACGUUCUGCAGCUCUCUCUCUUCUGCCUUUAAUGAGGUAAAGUGGAGAAGUCGUAAAACCAGGCCGCCAUCGGUGUAGCAUCCUGGGGCUGCCAUAACGAGAGGCUUCUGGUCCUCACGAUACAACACCUUGGUGGCAGUGUCUAGUCCCACCUUCUUUGUGCAAAGGGCCAACAUAGGACAGCCCCUCUCCUCCAUUUCCUCCUGAUCGCUGGGGUGCAAGGCAGCUGUCAGAUAUUCAUCUGGAUUUUGUGGAUGUCACAGAUAGCCAGAGUGGGGAAAGAAGGAGGCAGUUUGCUCUGAGAAACAAGAGGGGCUUUACAUCAUUGCAGUACACUCUAAAUAUGCAGUAAGGGUCAAAAGUCUCUUCUGUUGCCCUAGGACUCCUGACUGCUGCAGGCUAAGCCACCAACUCUGAGAUCUGUGUAAGAGGGCAGAAGGGAAUAGCUCAUUGUUAAACAUCCACUUUGUCCAAUGCAUUGGUCAGGGGCUGACAGUUUCCAUUCUGGAGCUCUCAGAAAAUAAAGCGGCUCCUGAGCAUCCCUGCAAGGUGUUGUGGGUCACGCCAGCCACCUCCAUCCCCACACAGCUUAGAAGAGCACAGAAAUGCCAUUUGGCUUUCCAGACCACCUUCCAGCACGGCAGGGAAAGGGCUGGCGUUACACAUGCUGAUAGCGAUAGUACAUGAUAUGCAGUCAGCAGUUUGUUGCAAUCAGAGCUUCUGCUGAGCACGUCGAAAGCCUGCCCCUUUCCUGUUAAUUGAAUGUAAGCCCUUUGGUACUUCUCUCCCUUUGAUCUCUCUCAGAAUGAGACGUAAGGCUAUUAAGGCAGAGGAACCAGCGAGCACAAUGCUGGCAGUAAUCUGUGUCAGGAUGAAGGGAUGUUACGCAAGAGACCAGGAAUGAGAUGCAGUGUGAUUUUUUCUCCCUCCUCCCCCCACGUUUUCUCAUCUAAUCCCAAGGGGUUCUUUGUAAUAUUCGCCGGAUGGCAACUACAAACACUGGUGGACACAAGGAGAAAAAACGUCAUGCAACAAACAUGUAAAAAAGCUGGUUUAGCACUGAAACACUGCAUCUCUCCAGCAAAACCUGCCUGCUAGCAGGAGAUACAAAUGACUCCUGGAAUCAAAUGCAUGUUACUGUGUUCAGCAUGCAGCAUUACUGCAGGAUUUAAACACGGCAAAGAGGGAAUUGCUGAUCACACUGAAACCAAAAUGAGAAUAAAUGCAUAAUAAGAAAAAAUAGAUUAGAAGAUAAUUACUUCAUUUUGUACCUGGAGCAAUUACUGUUUGGAUUAGAGAUGACUUGUAGGUGAAAUAGUUAGUCUGCAAUAGAAGCUGUAGACACAAUGUUAAUAGUUAAAAUGUCAGUGCUAAGCUUCAUUAAAGGAGAAACCCAGCUCUAAACUUGGUUCGGUAUUUUCUUCCAUGAUUGCCACAGUGAGCACUUACGUAACACGCUGCAUAUUUCAAAGCAAGUUAUAAAAUUAGCUAGGAACUGCACGUAAUGCCUCUUUGCAGAGCUGGAGGUGAGCAUGCAGCACCUUCCAGGUGGUGCUCGGAAUACCGUGAUAUCCCCUGCUUCUGAUUUAGGGAUCUAAAAUUACAAAGCCAAAGAAUCUGAUGCUGGGACCUAUAAAAAUGCCUGUUUUUCAUCCGAGAGGACACGCAUAGGAGAGAGAGACACAGAGAGAGGACACAGUUGUUAUUUCAUCGCUGCAGUUCACUGGGAUUUUUUCUGAACACCGUUCCUAUGAACCUGGAUGGAGAAAGGCUGAAGGAGAAGAAAACCCAAAACACUUCAGCCUGCUUUUAUUUUCCGGUUAAAAAUGAAAGAAGUUAUGUAGAGCAGUUGAAGUAAACACCUGAAUCUUAAAAGACUGAAAAGGCAUUUGUAGCCGCUGACCAGAGCCGAAGAUAGAAGGAAUAAAACUGGCAAUUGAUACGUGCUGCAAAUCCUCAUGCCGAGUACAAACCUGACCUGUAUUUCAGCAGCUGCAGGCACCUUUCUGAUAUCUUCCCAGCAGUGCUGGGAGGUGCUCAGCCCAACAGCAAAGCCACGCACGCUGCAAGUCCCCAGCCUCCCUUUAGGGGACAGAGCUUCCCAAUGGCUGCUUUGAUUGUCUGUUUUCAAAAUACAAUCACAUGUGGAUAUUAAAAAUAGCACCACGCUGACUUGCUUCCUGUGAAAACAGGUUCCAGUGCUAGGAAACUAAACAUAAUUUUAAACGUUAUCAUCUGACUAAUCGUGUUGCUAUUCCAUUUCAGUCCAUAUAAUUUCUCUGGUAUGAACCUGGGUCACUUUUGCAUAUGUCCAAUCUAUUUUAUAUAUAUACGUUCACUCUAUUUGCACACUCAGAUGGGAGACAUAUGCCUCUUCUCAUUUGGGCAGGCCAUAGUGUUAUUAAAAUGGAAAUGUGCGGGCUUUGGGAUCCAACUGCAACAUAUGUUUAAAAAUGAAAGAUGAUUCUUUAGUUGUAACUACCAGAAGAACUCGGAGCUUUUGACUCCAUGUAUAAUUACCACGAGACCUUAACAGCUUAAUUCACCAGGUAAUUACAUGGUUAUUUUUUGUUCUAUAAAAGGUAAAGAGGUAACAUUUAAUUUACAAGGUGCUGCAUAAUCCUGUAAUUACUCGGUAAUUUCCGUGUCG
RNAcentral lists this long non-coding RNA (12779 nucleotides) under Gallus gallus (chicken). RNAcentral's name for it is "lncRNA (ENSGALG00010022450.1)". The record is from RNAcentral. Lineage: Eukaryota; Metazoa; Chordata; Aves; Galliformes; Phasianidae.